UACGAAGGGGGCUAGCGUUGCUCGGAAUCACUGGGCGUAAAGCGCACGUAGGCGGAUUGCUAAGUCAGGGGUGAAAUCCUGGAGCUCAACUCCAGAACUGCCCUUGAUACUGGCGGUCUCGAGUCCGGGAGAGGUGAGUGGAACUGCGAGUGUAGAGGUGAAAUUCGUAGAUAUUGGGAAGAACACCGGUGGCGAAGGCGGCUCACUGGCCCGUAACUGACGCUCAUGCACGACAGCGUGGGGAGCAAACAGG
RNAcentral lists this ribosomal RNA (253 nucleotides) under uncultured bacterium. RNAcentral's name for it is "partial 16S ribosomal RNA". It matches the Rfam family "Bacterial small subunit ribosomal RNA", at positions 524 to 776 of the family's 1533-position model. The record is from RNAcentral.